UCCCAGCCCCGCCGCGCCCCGUCCCGCCCCGCCCAGACCCUCACGCCCUUCCUGCUCACUCUCGGGGCCUGCACAGUGGGGCUGGUGGUCGUCGGGGCGGGCUGGGGGCGGUGGGCGGGGUGGUAUGCAUGGAUGUGUUCGUAUGUGUGUGAAUUGGGGUUGCUUGGGGUUGACGGGGCGUUUCCGGGGCAGGGUAGGACGUUAGGCGGGGGUGGCGGGGCGGACCGGGGCAGGAGGGCGAGCCGGGGGAGUCGGGCGCGGGUGACGAACAACAACAACAACAAUAAUAAGGGCGGAAAGAAAGGCGCAGCGAGUAGAUGAUUCCGUUUCCGCUGUUUAUUUUUUCGUUUAUUUUUUUUUUCGCGUCUUCGGUCGGGUCCGCUUCGGCGCGUCAAUUCUUCCCCCCUUGCUCAAGUGCGUCGUCGUCGUCCUCGUCGUCGCGCGUAACGUAAUGGCGUCGACUCGUAGCGGAAAGUUGUUGAGUCUGUAGUUUUUUAUUUAUUUUUUUUUAUUUAGGGGGUGGCUGAAGCGUCCUGAGGCUAGGUUAGGAGGAGGAGGAGGAAGGAAGGAAGAGGAGGAGGAGGAUGAGGUGAUAUGUGUGUUUAUAUGUUUGUUACUUGUUAGAUUAGGAGGAGGAGGAGGAGGAAAACGUGGUGAUAUAUAUAUAUUUGUGUGUGUGUGUGUGUGCGUUUGUGUGUGUGUUUUUACCUGCGUUUAUAGUUUAUAAUGACAAGUCUUCUGAGGAGGAGGAGGAAGGGAAGAAGAUGAGGAGGAGGAAGGAGGAGGAGGAAAGGAAGAAGAAGAAAGAGGAAGGAGGAGGUUGUGGUGGUGAUAUGAAUGUGUGUGUGUUUGUACGUUAGUGUGUGUGUGUGUGUGUGUGUGUGUGUUCCCUGCAUUUUAUUAUUAUUAUUAUUAUUAUUUUAUUUAUUUAUUUAUUUAUAUAUAUUUUCGCUCCUUGGUCCAGUGGUUAUCAUCCCUGACCACAAAUCCUCUGGGCCAUGGUUCGAAUCCCGGCCCAGACAGUCAACCCCCCCACCCCCCACCCACCCACCCAGCGGUUCCUCCUCCCCUGUGGCUGGUGGUUAAACAUAUCCCUUGGGACCCCUUGGGAAGCACACUGUGGGAACCCGGGUGUCACACUGGCCCCGGGGUGAUGGGAUCAGGCCCCCACAGGCUCAAGGGGGGGCAGUGUGACGGAGAUGAGCGCUGGGGCCGUGUGUAGCUGUAGCCUGUGUCCCAAAUUUCACUUUUUGCAUUACUUUCCAUCGUACUUUUAUGAGGUUCUGAAAAGUUGAUCGAAGUGUCUAAAAAUAUCUGUUAGUGGGAGGGUUAAGAGGAGGAGGAGGAGGAGGAGGAGGAGGAGGAGGAGGAGGUUAAGAAGAACAAAGAGGAGGAGGAGAAGGAGGAGAUGAACUAGGAGGAGGAGGAGGAAGAACAAAGAAGAGGAGGAGGAGGAAGAGGAAAAGGUGCAUAUUUAGAACAAAGAAGAGGAAGGAGGAGGAGGAAGAGGAGGAGAUAGUGGUGUAGAGAAGCAAAGAGGAGGAGGAGGAGGAGGAGGAGGAAGAAAGAGAGGGAGGAAGAAGGAAGAAACAUUAGAAAAAUUACAAAAAGGCAGAGAGAGAGAGAGAGAGAGAGAGAGAGAGAGAGAGAGAGAGAGAGAGAGAGAGAGAGAGAGAGAGAGAGAGAGAGAAGGAAGGAAGGAAGGAAGAAAUAGGAAAAGAAAAAAGAAAACAUUACAAAAACUCAUCAAUCUCAAAUUAAGCACAAAAUGAAAAAAAAUAUAAAAAUUCGAACUGUCGAGAUAAAACAAAAAAUAAACAAACAACAUUGUCACCUCCGCUAACCACACACACACACAUAGGCCUCUCAAAAUUCACCUCAUGUUAGCAUUGUCCUAUAUUUUAACGCCUCUACAGUGGGUCUAUACAAACCAGAGUUAUACAAUGGGUCUAUACAAGCCAGGGUUAUACAGUGGGUCUAUACAAGCCAGGGUUAUACAGUGGGUCUAUACAAGCCAGGGUUAUACAAUUGGUCUAUACAAGCCAGGGUUAGAAUUAGGUUGAGGAAGAAGAGGAAGAGGAGGAGGAAGAGAUGGUUCAUGGUGUGGAGGUAACAGGAGGAGGAGGAGGAGGAGAGAAGAAGGAAGAAUACUGGAGAAGUCAAGAUAAGGGAGAGAGGAGGAAGGAAGUAGAAAAGAAAUUAUACGUAAAGAAAGGGAGGAAGGAAGGGAGAUCGCUGGAGAGUUAGUAUAAGGAAGAGGAAAGGGAGGGAGACGAAAAUAAAUACUGGAUUUAAGGAAGAAGGGUAAGGAAAAAAGGAAAGAAAUCAGGAAAUUGGGAAGGACUAGGUCACAAUUUGGGUGGUGGAUAAGUGGGUCAAAUCAGGCUGUCAUGUCCUUAACCCGUCCGCUGCGAUUGGCACGGAUUUGGCCGUCACUGGUAGCCUGGUAACAUACACUCCCAUGUCUUUCUCUGCCUCUGUGGUGGAUAGUGGAGUGUUUCCCAUGUGGUAUUGGUAUGCUGGAUUUGGCCUUCACUGGUAGCCUGGUAACAUACACUCCCAGGUCUUUCUCUGCCUCUGUGGUGGAUAGUGGAGUGUUUCCCAUGUGGUAUUGGUGUGCUGGAUUUGGCCUUCACUGGUAGCCUGGUAACACACACUCCCAGGUCUUUCUCUGCCUCUGUGGUGGGUAGUGGAGUGUUUCUCAUGUGGUAUUGGUAUGCUGGAUUUUGCCUUCACUGGUAGCCUGGUAACACACACUCCCAUGUCUUUCUCUGCCUCUGUGGUGGAUAGUGGAGCGUUUCCCAUGUGGUAUUGGUAUUCUGGUCACUCCCCUUAAUUCAAAUGUGAUGAGGGACUGUUUCAAAUGCUGGUUAGGUAGAUUUGUGAGAUGGUGAAAACUUGGUUGAGAUUAGCUAAGAUCAGGCUGUGCUAGGCUAGGUUGGGUUGGGUUGGGGUAGGUCAGAUUGGGUCAGACUAGGUUAGGUUAGGUUAUGCUAGGUCAGGUUGUGUUUGGUUAUGAGAAAGUUAGUGAAAUUGAAUGAAAUGGAGAAAGAAAGAAAGAAGGAAAGAGAGGAAGGAAAGAAAGGGAGAAGAGAGAGAGAGAGAGAGAGAGAGAGAGAGAGAGAGAGAGAGAGAGAGAGAGAGAGAGAGAGAGAGAGAGAGAGAGAGAGAGAGAGAGAGAGAGAGAGAUAAAGACGAGAAGGAGAGAGAGACAGACCAGGGAGAGAAAGAGAGAGAGAGAGAGAGAGAGAGAGAGAGAGAGAGAGAGAGAGAGAGAGAGAAAACAAAGACCACCGCCACUGUCUCCUUCUUUGGGGUCUCGGCACUAUAAAAAAAAAAUACUCGGAGAAAAUUUACUUAAUAUUAUUAUUAUUAUUAUUAUUAUUAUUAUUAUUAUUAUUAUUAUUAUUAUUAUUAUUAUUAUUAUUAUUAUUUAGUUUAUCGGCCAAGUGCGUUCCAUCUGUGACUUUUAAUUCAUUUAGAUAUAUACGUUUGUUCGUGCGUUUGUGUGUGUAUAUAUUGAUAUCCGACAUGCCCCCCCCCGAACCCCCCUGACCCCCCUGCCCCACACCCCAUAGCCCCCUCCACAACCCCAAUGAAAGCUUCCAGGAAUGUGUGUGUAUGUGUGUGUGUGCGUGUGUGUGUGUGUGUGAGCGCACAUGCAUUCUAGCACUUUCAUGUGUGUAUAUAUGUAUGUAUGUAUAUAUAUUGUGUGUGUGCGUAUGUUUGUGUGUAUGUACGUAAUUUUAAGUGUAUAUUGUGUAUGCUUCCUCCCCUUGAAAUGUGAUAGAACUGUUUGUUUUUGCCAAAUACACACACACACACACACACACACACACACACACACACACACACACACACACACACACACACCUAUCCAAACUCACCCAUCAUCAUCAUCAUCAUCAUUAUACAGUGUCGCCAAUAUCAGUUCCUUCCCUACACACACACACACAUGCACACACACACACACAUACACACGCACACGGUCGCCAGGUGUUGAUCAAGGCGGCAGAUACCCUAGUCAGUCAGUCCCUCAAUAAUGUGAUGAUAACUUGGUGAAAAUUAAUUAUCGGUACAUUCGGAGGCGUUGUCGUAAUGGCCGGCUAUCGUGAGGACGACGUACGUAACAGACAGACAGACACACACACACAGACACAGACACAGACAGACAGGCAUGGAUAGACAGACAAAGUUACCAUUCAGCAAUAGACAGACAGAGACAGACACACACACAGACACACAGACACAGACAGACAGGUAUGGAUAGACAGACAAAGUUACCAUUCAGCAAUAGACAGACACACAGACACACACACAGACACACAGACAAAGUUACCAUUCAGCAAUAGACAGACAGAGACACAGACACACACACAGACACACAGACACAGACAGACAGGCAUGGAUAGACAGACAAGCUUACCAUUCAGCAAUAGACAGACAGACAGACAGACACAGUGACCAGGAGAUAGACAGACAGACAGCCAUGGAUAGACAGACAUACCAUUCAGCAAUAGACAGACAGAGACACAGUGACAAAGAGAUAGACAGACAGACAGAAGUUAUACUCAGAGGCACAUACAGACAGACAGACAGACAUAAACAGACAUAAACAGACAAAAUAACAUACUACCCAGCGACAGACAGAGACACAGACAGACAGACAGACAGAGAAACAGACAGACAAAAUAACACGCUACCCAGCAACAGACAGACAGACAGACAGACAAACAGACAAAAUAACAAACUACCCAGCGACAGACAGACAGACAGACACAUUCGUACAGACACCGUAACCUCAACAGUAUCGUACGUAACAGCUAUACUCUAAUGUUUUGGAUAAUGAUAAAAAUAAUAAUGUUAAUAAAAUGUUUUCGGAAAAUCG
Molecule: long non-coding RNA, 4888 nt
Organism: Eriocheir sinensis (Chinese mitten crab)
Lineage: Eukaryota; Metazoa; Arthropoda; Malacostraca; Decapoda; Varunidae
Exons: 2
Source: RefSeq, a predicted model, not a curated record